Molecule: ribosomal RNA, 497 nt
Filed under: uncultured bacterium
Lineage: Bacteria
Description: partial 16S ribosomal RNA
Rfam family: Bacterial small subunit ribosomal RNA
Source: RNAcentral
GAUGAACGCUGGCGGCGUGCCUAAUACAUGCAAGUCGAGCGAACGGACGAGAAGCUUGCUUCUCUGAUGUUAGCGGCGGCCGGGUGAGUAACACGUGGAUAACCUACCUAUAAGACUGAGAUAACUUCGGGAAACCGGAGCUAAUACCGGAUGAUAUUUUGAACCGCAUGGUUCAAAAGUGAAAGACGGUCUUGCUGUCACUUAUAGAUGGAUCCGCGCUGCAUUAGCUAGUUGGUAAGGUAACGGCUUACCAAGGCAACGACGCAUAGCCGACAUGAGAGGGUGAUCGGCCACACUGGAACUGAGACACGGUCCAGACUCCUACGGGAGGCAGCAGUAGGGAAUCUUACGCAAUGGGCGAAAGCCUGACGGAGCAACGCCGCGUGAGUGAUGAAGGUCUUCGGAUCGUAAAACUCUGUUAUUAGGGAAGAACAUAUGUGUAAGUAACUGUGCACAUCUUGACGGUACCUAAUCAGAAAGCCACGGCUAACUACGUG